Scylla paramamosain (green mud crab) is the source of this 1001-nucleotide long non-coding RNA. RefSeq lists it as uncharacterized. The record is from RefSeq and is a predicted model, not a curated record. The transcript is spliced from 3 exons. NCBI's taxonomy places the organism in Eukaryota, Metazoa, Arthropoda, Malacostraca, Decapoda, Portunidae.
CUCGAGUCUUAAAUCCUCAAGACCUCAUUUUAAGUCCUAAACAUGCGUCUUAAUGCUAAGACACCUCUCGAGGUGUUAUUGCAUCCCGCGUGCUCCUCAAGAUAAUAUCCUAACAGUAAACAUGGCCGCUCUUAAUGAAUCGCACUGCCUUCACCAGCGACGACAGAGACGGACAUUUCGUGAGAGGAAGGACGUCCUGAAUGAGCUAGACAACCGUGAGCUGGUGGAGAGGUAUCGGCUAGACCGUGCUGGUACCAUCUUCGUGACUGAUCUGGUGCGGGAAAGGCCUCCUACCCUGAGAUGUAAGUGAUCAUCACUCUGUGGUACCUGGCUACGGGCAAGAUGCAGCAGUUUAGUGCUGAAGACUUUGGGCCUUCACAGCAGACCUUCAGCAGGGUCAUCAGUGACACGUUGAAAGCCCUCUAAGACAAUGCCAUCCUCUUACAGUUCAUAAGAUUUACAGUCGCCCCAUUGGAAAUUCAAAGGAGGAAGGCGGAGUUCAGUCAGAUUGCUGCCUUCCCUGGAGUGAUUGGUGUCAUUGAUGGGACGCACGUCAGGAUUGUGACGCCAAGGCACACAGAAAAACAGUGUUGUUGAAAUGGGCAUUGGGCAGCUGAAGCGAUGUUUUCACAUACUGCACAGUGAGAUCCAAGUUGAUCCUCUUUCCAGAGUUUGCCAAAUUGUAAAGGUUUAUGCAUUGCUGCACAACAUCUACAAAACCAGGGAUAUCAUUCUUCCUGAAGAAAAAGAAGACUUUUCAGCUGAGGAUGGAGACAAUGAUGAGCAACCCCCAGUACUGGAAGUUCAACAUCACUGUAAGGGAAUCCUGUACAGGGAUGAAUUUACUAUGCUUCACUUUAAGUGGAUUACCUCCUCUUAAUUCAGGUACACUUCUGAUGCACCAGGCAAUUCUGGGCCCUGAUGCUGCAUAGUUGAUGCCAGAAGUGGUGAAGCAGGCACUUCCUUCUCCACACCCACUGCCUCAUUCCCCACUUUUUCCU